UUUCCAUAUACCAUGAGAAAGAACUUAAAAUACAUUAAUACAAAUGUAGAAUGUGGUUAAAAAUUUUAAAACAACACUGAAAAUUAUAGGUUUCAAUAUAUAAAGAAUUUACCAAAAACUCAAUAUUUUUGUAGGGGUUAACACAUAGAUUUUGAGAAAAUUUCAAAAAAUACGACAAUAUUGUUUUAAUGUAUAGUUGCAUCCUGCAUUAAUAUAUGAUGAUGUUCAAAGAGAUUUGGAGUCUUUGUUGUCUCCAUUUCUCUUGAAAAUAACGAUUUUAUAAUGGUUAUUUCACUAAUUUAGAGAGUAUACGAAGUUUUACGAAAUUAAUUUAUAAAAACAAUUGAACGAUGCUUAUUUACCAUGAAAGAGAGUUUAUCAUACAACAAUAAAAAUGUAGAAUAUAGUUAGAAAUUUUAAAACAACACUAAAGAUUAUAAGCUUCAGUAUAUAAAGUAUUUACCAAAAACUCAAUAUUUUUGUAGGGGUUAACACAUAGAUUUUGAGAAAAUUACAAAAAAUACGCCAAUAUUGUUUUAAUGUAUAGUUGCAUCCUGCAUUAAUAUAUCAUGAUGUUCAAAAAGGUUUGGAGUCUUUGUUGUCUCCAUUUCUCUUGAGAAUAUGGAUUUUAUAAUGUGUAGUCCACUAAUUUAGGGAGUAUACGAAGUUUUACGAAAUUAAUUUAUAAAAACAAUUGAACGAUGCUCAUUUACCAUGAAAGAGAGUUUAACAUACAUUAAUACAAAUGUAGAAUAUAGUUAGAAAGUUUAAAACAACACUAAAGCUUAUAAGCU
Molecule: long non-coding RNA, 794 nt
Organism: Brassica rapa (field mustard)
Lineage: Eukaryota; Viridiplantae; Streptophyta; Magnoliopsida; Brassicales; Brassicaceae
Source: RefSeq, a predicted model, not a curated record